This 253-nucleotide ribosomal RNA is filed under the name uncultured bacterium. RNAcentral's name for it is "partial 16S ribosomal RNA". It matches the Rfam family "Bacterial small subunit ribosomal RNA", at positions 524 to 776 of the family's 1533-position model. The record is from RNAcentral.
UACGUAGGGUCCGAGCGUUGUCCGGAAUUAUUGGGCGUAAAGGGCUCGUAGGCGGUUCGUCACGUCGGGAGUGAAAACUCGGAGCUUAACUCCGAGCCUGCUUCCGAUACGGGCAGACUAGAGGUAGGCAGGGGAGAGCGGAACUCCUGGUGUAGCGGUGAAAUGCGCAGAUAUCAGGAAGAACACCCGUGGCUAAGGCGGUUCUCUAGUACGGUACUGACGCUGAGACGCGAAAGCGUGGGGAGCGAACAGG